This 483-nucleotide ribosomal RNA is filed under the name uncultured bacterium. RNAcentral's name for it is "partial 16S ribosomal RNA". It matches the Rfam family "Bacterial small subunit ribosomal RNA", at positions 30 to 506 of the family's 1533-position model. The record is from RNAcentral.
AUUGAACGCUGGCGGCAGGCCUAACACAUGCAAGUCGAGCGGAUGAAGGGAGCUUGCUCCUGGAUUCAGCGGCGGACGGGUGAGUAAUGCCUAGGAAUCUGCCUGGUAGUGGGGGAUAACGUCCGGAAACGGGCGCUAAUACCGCAUACGUCCUGAGGGAGAAAGUGGGGGAUCUUCGGACCUCACGCUAUCAGAUGAGCCUAGGUCGGAUUAGCUAGUUGGUGGGGUAAAGGCCUACCAAGGCGACGAUCCGUAACUGGUCUGAGAGGAUGAUCAGUCACACUGGAACUGAGACACGCUCCAGACUCCUACGGGAGGCAGCAGUGGGGAAUAUUGGACAAUGGGCGAAAGCCUGAUCCAGCCAUGCCGCGUGUGUGAAGAAGGUCUUCGGAUUGUAAAGCACUUUAAGUUGGGAGGAAGGGCAGUAAGUUAAUACCUUGCUGUUUUGACGUUACCAACAGAAUAAGCACCGGCUAACUUCGU